Molecule: non-coding RNA, 312 nt
Organism: Delphinapterus leucas (beluga whale)
Lineage: Eukaryota; Metazoa; Chordata; Mammalia; Artiodactyla; Monodontidae
Source: RefSeq, a predicted model, not a curated record
AAUUGCACUUCACUAACUUCGCUGGCUGGUGCCUGCAGGGUCUACGCCCGAGGUCUUCGGCUGUGCAUCUCCUUGCCCUCUUGGGCUGGCGAUGUCUUAACUGACACUCCAACUUUGUAGCCGGUGGAGGAAAACAGUGGAAGAGAGAUGGGGGAUCUCGGAGCAGGCAGAGAGGUGCUCUGCCUGCAGAGAGAUGCAGAGAGAGAUGCUCAAAGAGGAAGAAGGUGCUCUUUGAGGAAGAAGGUGCUCAAAGAGGAAGAAGGCUCCAGACGCGCAGGCUCAGCGGCCAUAGCUCACGGGCCCAGCGGCUCC